UAGGGAAUCUUCCACAAUGGACGCAAGUCUGAUGGAGCAACGCCGCGUGAGUGAAGAAGGCUUUCGGGUCGUAAAACUCUGUUAUUGAAGAAGAACGUGUGUGACAGUAACUGGUCAUGCAGUGACGGUAUUCAAUCAGAAAGUCACGGCUAACUACGUGCCAGCAGCCGCGGUAAUACGUAGGUGGCAAGCGUUGUCCGGAUUUAUUGGGCGUAAAGCGAGUGCAGGCGGUCUUUUAAGUCUGAUGUGAAAGCCUUCG
RNAcentral lists this ribosomal RNA (259 nucleotides) under uncultured bacterium. RNAcentral describes it as "partial 16S ribosomal RNA". It matches the Rfam family "Bacterial small subunit ribosomal RNA", at positions 355 to 606 of the family's 1533-position model. The record is from RNAcentral.